This 544-nucleotide long non-coding RNA is filed under the name Mustela putorius furo (domestic ferret). Its description in RNAcentral is "lncRNA (ENSMPUG00000027987.1)". The record is from RNAcentral. Lineage: Eukaryota; Metazoa; Chordata; Mammalia; Carnivora; Mustelidae.
AAAUUUUGCUUAACAACAUGUAUUAUCUCAUAUAAUUUCAGGAAUUUGGGAGCUGUAUAGCUCUGGUUGUGACUUGGAGCUUCCCAAAAGGUCAUACUGCGGUCAUGUGAAGACUUGACUCUGGCUGGAGGACCCCCUUCUAAGGAGGAUCCCACAUGCCUGCUGGGUUGGUGCUGCUUGUUGGCUGGAGGCCUCUGUUGUUUGCCACAUGGAUCUCUCCGUAGGGCUCCUUGGGUGUCCUCACAACAUGGUGACUGACUUCCCCCAGAGCGCAUGGUCCAAGAGGAAGCAAAGCAGAAGCUGUAAUGUUUUUUGUUUGGAGGUACUACUGCUAUCCCAUUUAUACUGGCUGGGAAACAGCGCGGUAAGUGACGAGCCCAGGAUCGCCCAGCAAGUUCACGGCAGAGAUGAGAGCUGAAGCCAGGGAGUCCCAGCGUCUCGGCAGCACAAUCCUGCCUCUCACCAGGGCAAGUGUUAAUGGAGAGGGACUAGGAUGGGGAAGGGUGGAGCAAGAAUUUUACUUUUAUACUCUUGAGUAUUGAAA